AAAGAAUUAUUUCUAUUUUUUAAUCUUUGAAAUCUCUGUAAAGUUUUUUUGAUAUUUUCUAUAAAAAUCAAGUGGCGACUCUAUAAUUUUUUUCAAAAUUAUUUCAAAUUUUUUUGAAUUUUUUGAAAUAGUUUGGAAGAGGCCAAAACCAUUUUCUUAAAAAUAAAAUUUGAAAAAAGGAUAAAACAAAAAUGACAACUCUGCUGGGCAUUUGACUAGGUUCUAACCAAAUGUGGGAACUAACUUCUUUGACUAACUAUUCGGGUUGUAAUAUUUAAACUAUUUGUCUACUUAUGUGUUUAAAUUUACACAAAAUUUAAAUUGUUGCAUUUCAUGGCAUACUUCCACAUUCAAAAUAUAUAAAUUGUUUGGAGUUUCGUGGAUGUCCCGGCUCCUAUUGUUCAAUUUCAAAUCAAGUGUUAGUAACAAGUUAGCUUAUUGGCACGUUGGGCGUUCGAUGACUAUUUGUAUUUCCAAACCCAAGUCGUUCGCUUGGGAACCUGGUUAAAGCCCACUGUAUACACUCAGGAUAGAACAAUAUCAAAACCCUAUUUUAGGCAUGAGCCUAGGACAACUCAAUACCCGAGGGAGUAUUGGGCUCAUUUGAAAACCUACCCUGCAUCUAUUGGCCAUGAACCAAUUACAGACAAAUCAUGUUUGUGUGUUAAAAAAAUAUGUCUGUUUAAUCCAAUCAAUUAUUUUUAGGGUAGGGAAAAGAUUUAAUUUUAUUUACUUUCGUGUAGUAAUGGCUCAACCAUACCCCUGCAAAAGAUUCAAGAUGUUACCGACUUGGUAACUUCUUGAAAGUAUAGUGGACUCAUAUGAGUGGAAAAGAUAAGGAGAUUGUUAGUACACAUAUUAGGCAUCUACUAUUGCUUAAAGAGAUGGACGCUUGGCCUUAAAUGAUCCAUGUGCCAACAAUAUUUUAGGAUGAUGAAAACAUGGUGUUUCUUUUCGGGGAAGUCAAAUUGACCCCACCAUUGAAGAAACAAUGAAUUGUUAUGAGAGCAUCGAUAGAUCUAGGAAAAGAAGGAGUGAGCCCGACAAAAGCAUUCUAAUCCCUAUUGUAUGGAACUGUCAGGAGAUCAAGGAUGCCUUUUCAAUCAAUGAUGAUACCUGGUUGGGGGAACAUGAUGGAGAUAACAUACCUUUUCGUGAGUUGUAUCGCCGGUUUGAAAGGUUUAAUGCUUUUGAAAAAUUUGGACAUAAAUUUGAAUUGGAGUCAAAAUGGAGGGAGAAAAGAGCAUUUGCUUUCACCGUGAGCUUGCUUGGAACUAUGGUAUUCCCACAAGGAAAAAAUGACACCAUUCAUCCAAGAGUCAUUACGGUGAUGCAUGCCCUCUUCUACGGAGUAGAUUGCAAAACCACUAAAUUAUUCCAUACUUUAGCUCCCAUGAUCGUCACUAAAAUAUAUAUGGAACUAGGAAAAUGUCAAAGCAGACACUGUUUCUUCAAGGGGUGUAACCUUAUCUUGCAAUGGUGGAUGAUGAAACAUUUAUUGAAAAAUCCUAGAGUAGAGCAGCCGAACCCUCAGAAAAGGGUAGAUCUUUUAUCAUCGCAUGACAUUUGGCUAUCCUUGCACAGGUUUAAAAGGAUAAAAUCUCUGAGAUUUUGGUUUAAGGUUUUUGGGGAAUUGAGAGAGGACAACGUCUAGUGUUCUAUAAGAUAUCUUCGCCUAGGGAAGUACAUCACUCGAGAAAAUGAAUGGCAUUUUUAGUACUUUCAGGUCUCAGAGGAACUCGUUCUUAUAAUUCUGAGAGGGUUCUUAGGCAAUUCGAGAUCAAGUAGGAAACACCGCAAACAGUGUCAAAGGUUAAAUUCAUCACACAGUAUAAAUAAGGUGCAAACCCACUCAAAAAGUACAUCGUAGAUGGGUAGAGGAGAAGAUAAGACAAAGGAAGUAUCCUUUCGUAUAGGGUAUGAAACCGAGGUUAGUGAUACCUACAAAAAGUGCUUGAAGAAGAAUCUUGUCGGAACAUUGGUCCCGAGGUCAAAUGUACCCACACAAAUCAUUGAUGUAGAAUCAAAACAUCAGAUUUGGCUCCACAAGCUUCAGGAUGAACUCCAAGGAAGUGAGAUUGUGCACCAGCAGAUGCAUAUGGAGGAUGCCUCAACUAUACACCAAUUGAGAGAAGAGUUAAAGAGAGCGAGGCAAGAGAUUGAUGAUGCAAGGCAGUGUUUGCUUGAUUUGGAUAAUCACAUGGCUUCUCAACUUGAUUGCAUAGGGAAGAUGACCUACGACAAUAAAUAAAGCACAAUUAUGCAGGAGCCACCUGGUCAUACAAAUAUCACAUAUGGAAAAAAGUAGAUAAAGCCAAGAAGGCAAAGGCCUAUGAAGGAGCAUCUAGGAGUUAAUUUUCUAUCCCCUGUGCGGGACUUUGUUCCUGUCAUUUUUCUUUUCCCUAAAGAUUGUAUCCCUUUAUGCAACUUUUGUAAAUAUUUAUGACCUUCCUUUUAUAUAUAUGUGGAGAUUUUUGGGGGAUAAUUGAUUGGUUUAAAAGAAAUAUAUUUCCUUCAAAUUCGCUAUACCAAACCUUGGCUCAAAAGGGUCACCCAAUUAGGACACGCUAUUUAUUUUUUUAUUAUUGUGUGAUAUAACUGUAUUAUGUGAUAUAACUGUUUAUGUUCUUAUAUGCAUUGUUAAAUCAAAGAUAAAUUGAUCUACUCUUCAACAAAGUCUUAGAAACCCUUUAGGCAAAAUAUGCGCUUUUUAUCCGAAGUCUGCCCAAAAUAUUUCGAGUCGUCAAGUCUCUUAGAAAGUCCUCAAUCAUUUUCGUUAGCUUUCUUUUUAAAUAUAUUCUUAUUCUUUAGGAAGAUCUGUCAUGGAUUCAAGGACCAUACAACUGAAAAGACGGGAUAGUGGAGUUAGCCCAAGUGGAGGAGAUGCAAAACAAAAAAGAUCAAGAGACUGAUUAGGAGGGUUGGUCAGGCCAACAAGGAAAUUACUGUAGUCAAGCAAUUGAUCGCGCAAGAAAAUAAGAAGUUUGAGUAAGCUCCACCUUCAAACUUAAGAGAAGACCACUGGGCCAAGAUUAAAGGAGAUGCCUUUUGUCCAACUAGGAUCAAGUUGGAAUGUUAAAAGAUCACUCUCAGAGCUCACUUCAGAGGAUACUUUCGAUGUCCCCAGAUCGUGACAUGCUCGGCAGUUUACCAAAUCUUAAGAGAUAUAAGAGUCCUCUACCCUGAUCAAACAGAAGGAUUUUGACUGCUUUUCUGAAGAUGCUCAUAAGAAAUGUUAUUAUAAUCCAAAUCAAUGUGGUCAUACCGCUGAUGAGUCUCUUGCUCUGAAGACCAGGAUUUGCAACCUAAUCUGCAACGGCCAAAUAAAUAAUUUGUGGGGACCACAAGCCAUUCUCUAUUGCGAUCAAGUUGAUCUAGGCAUGCCCAUAACCAAUGACGUGCAGAUUUAUAAAUAUAACUUCACAAGGUUUGAAGAUACCUACCAUGAAAUCUAUUACAGCUCAUCCAUGCUAAAAUUCUUGAACCAGUGGAAAGGAAGCCUAAUACGAUGUCUAAGGCUUUGGAAGAAAUUCAGAGAGGUUUGUCACUAUCAUAGAGGGAUCGUAGGUUUUUACUUAAUUCAUAAUUAAUCACAAAAAAUUAGAAUUUGAGAAAAAAUCAAGGAAUAUUCUAAUUGAGAAAUAUUCUAUUUAACUCAUAAUUAUUUCUAGAAAAGCUAUGAGAUUUCUACUUGAAUUAAAAAGAAACCUACCUAAACUAGGUUGCACAUUUGGCUUUAAGAAGGAAAUAAGUCCGUGUUACUAAAAAAAAAGGAAAUAACACUUUUGAAAAAAAAUUAAGAGAGUAUCAAAUUAAAAACAUCUUAUCAAUUAUGAAAAAUUAAAAUUUACAAGAAAAAUUAAUUUCUUGAGUUUGAAGAAAAUUAUUUUGAUCUAAAUAGACUAUUAGCUAUAUCAACAAAACAAGUGCCGUUUUGAACUAAAGUAUUCAUUUUUUAGAGACUUGUUUGAGCUAAUUUAAUUCAUUUUUUUAGAUAGGGUGAAUUACGUAAGAAAAAUUAUAUAAAAUAAGUGAGGAAUUCGAGAUAAAUAGAAUGACAACAAUGUGAAAAAUUACUAGAUUAAUUAAUUAAAAUUACUGCUAAUACAAAUAAGCAAGUAUGAAUUGCAAAUUAUAAGAGAAUAAAAGAUUAAAAGUUAGAGUUGAGCCCCUUUCGGCCCAUCAGCGAGCUGCCCAGCCUUUGGGCUUCCCAUUUUGUGAAAAGGUCCAUUUUCCUGCAUGUAUAUCAGCUGUAUAUCACAGAUCUCUUUUGCAUUUUUGGUUGUAUACAUACUGUAUAUCAUCUUGAUACUUUGGUAUACCAGUUUCCUUAGCUCGAUUUUUACUCCUUUGCAUCUGUGUAUCUGCUUUCAUGACAUGAAUGUAUAUCUGCUGUAUAUCUUUGUAUACGACCUUGAUUUUGGACUUGGAGGGAGCGUAAUUUGAGAGGACGGGGGCUUGGCCCCAUAGAUUAUGCAAGAAUAGGUGUCUGAGGGACUCGUGUGGGGAGGUUCGUUCCAAAAGAACAUAAGGGUCAGUGUCUAGCUAAACAAGAAUUGCACAAAGUAUUUAAGAUUGGAAGGAAACCAACAUGACUAUUUGCUGGAAAAAACAAACUGGAAAAAACAUCUCUUAAUACUAUUUUUAACUAAUUGACUAUUUGCUGUUUAAACAAAAUAAACCAAUAUGUGAUGAAUGGAAAUAAUACAUACCCCAAAUAAAAUAAACUGGAAAAGACAUCUUAAUAUGCAAUUUAACUAAUUGACUAAUUGUUGUUUAAAUAAAAGUAAACCAAUAUGCAAUGAAGAGGCAGAACUAUUUUUACAUAAAAAGAGCUUAUUUUUGUUACUGCAUGCCACAAACUUAACAAAGAUAUAAAGAAAGAAGAGAGAUAAAAAAAAAUGAAAAAAAGGGAUAUACUCGAAAGAAAACAAUUUAAUAUAUUCGAAUUUCUCUUGUGAGCUUAACUUAGUAUAUAAUUGGAUUUAUUUGAUUAAUUUAUUAGUUAUGAUAAAAUCAGAUUUAGAUAUCCAUCAAAAUAUUAUAAAUAUUGUUUAGAUGAAUAACGUACAAAAAUCACAACAAUAUAAAGAAUUAAAACAAAUAAUAUCUGAAAAAUGUAAAGAAUUAAAAAUAAAGAUAGAAAGAUUGCAGUAUAACAUAAUUGCAGGAGUUAGUAAAAACUCAAUAAAUGGACAAAAAGAAGAAAUAUCAAAUUAAGAAUCAACAAUAGAUAGUCUAGAAUAUAUAUAUUAACAUGACCUAUAUACAAUUAAAUAAAAAUGAACAAAGAAGAAUUUAUAAUAGAUGAAAAAACAUAUGAAAAUCACGGAGGAUUAAAAAUAAAAAUAGUAUUCUCUAAUUUAGGAAGGAGAUAUAAGAAAAUAGGUGAACAUUUAUCUUUAAUGUUAGAAAAAGAAGAAUUAAAAUUAGAAGAUAAGUUGGCAGCCAUGGAAAGAAUAGAAAGAGAAAAAACGAAGAGAUAGACAGAAAAAAGCAAAUAGAUAAAAUAAAACAACAAACCACAAAAGAAAUACGAAAAAUAGAAGAAACUAAAAAAGUAGGAUUGCUGAAUUAGAAAAGGAACUACAAAUGCUAAAAGAUUUAUGUGAAAAGAGACAGAAAGAAAAAGAAGAAAAAGAUAAAGAACAAAAAUUAUUAAACGAGAUAAAUCAAUUUAAAUAAAAAAUAAAAAAUAAAGAACCAGAAACCAAUGAAUUGGAAAUAAAUACAAUAGAUGUUGAAGAAACAGAUAAUUAUGAUUCGGAAGAUAGUGAAACAUAUACAGAAAUUCUAGAAAACAUAGGAAAACUAGAAAUUAAUGAAAAAGAAGAAGUAAUUAAUAAAAAAAAUCUAGAACUAAUAGACACAAAUAAAAUAAUACAACUAUGGGUAGGAUACAUGUCAAAAUAAUUAUUAGAUAAUAAAAUAGAUACAACAAAUACGCCAGAAUAUAUAGAAAAAAUAUUAAUAGGAACAGUAAAAUUAUGGUUUUUAAACCUAGCCGAAGCAAGUAAAAAAGUACUAAGAUUUGAUAAUAAAACAGAAGGAACAUCAAUAUCUACUAAAAUACUACCAACAGAAAUAUUGAAAAAAUAAGAAAUAGCUAUAAGAGAAGAAUUUAGUAAUAUAACAACAGAAGAAGAAGAGCAAAAUAAAGAGAAAAAUACGAAUAUGAAUUUAAUGUUAAAAUUAGCAAUAUGUAAUAUGUGCUAUAUAGAUGAGUAUACGUGUGCAUUAAAAGAAUAUUAUUUUAAAGGAACAUAUAAUAUAGAAGAAAGUAAAGAAAUA
RNAcentral lists this long non-coding RNA (6291 nucleotides) under Capsicum annuum. Its description in RNAcentral is "long non-coding RNA (CANN_LNC018619)". The record is from RNAcentral. Lineage: Eukaryota; Viridiplantae; Streptophyta; Magnoliopsida; Solanales; Solanaceae.